CAUUCUCCAAAUUUCGGGUUAGUUUAUUAUUAAAGUAAAAAAAAAAAUUUCUAUUUUGCACACAUUGAAAAACUUACUUUGAUUCACAUAAAAGUUCAUUUAUUUUUGAAUAAAAAUAUAAAACAAUAAUAACGAAUCAUUCCCUCAUUUUAUUAUUAUUAUUAUUUUUUUUUUUUUUUAUAAAAAUAACUAUAUUAACAAAUUCUGAUGGAUCAAGAUAGUCUCAAAAAGGAGAAUACAAAAGUUACCAUAAAACUUGCAUAAAUAUAGAAAGAUUAAUCAUAAACCCCACGCCAAAAAAGAAUUGUCUCCAAAAAUCCGCACUUUUUCGUAGAAAUCUAAUUAUAAUUUAUUCCUUGACUUUUCAGUGUUUGAAUUUACCAAUUCAAUAAUGCUCUUCGAACAGGACAAAUGUCAUGGGUAAUUGAUAAGGUGGGGUUCGAGGGUGUAUUUUCUAACACUGUCCAAUCAUAUGUUGACACGUAUCCCAUCCUUAAUUGAUUCCAUCAUCGUGUCUGUCACUAUAGCAAGAUUGUUACAAAUUUAUCAAAAUUGUAUCUAAUGUUAUUGAUUGAAAAUAUUUGUCAUUAAUACUUAAGUGUACGUUUGACAAUUAUUAUUUCAUAACUCUUUAUUUUACAUAUUUAUUUUUAACUACACAUUCACAUAAUAAAAUAUUCUGCACGUACACCCAAAAUUUUUCCUUACUUUUUAAUCUUGCAUUAUUUAAAAAUUCACUAUUAAAAACUUUAUUUUUGCUAAAUAAUGACAAUCAAACAGGAGCUUAACAUUCUCUACUAUAUUCAAUAUUUAUUUAUUUUGUCAAUAUGUCUACGUCCACGAGUCGUUACGCUCGUAUUUCAGGACACAUGCCAAUUGGUGGAUAGCCUCGUCCAAUUACAAACUCACAUGACGUGCAUCCUCUAGCGCCAAAACAUGUAUAAAUUAGUUUACAUAAUAGAAUUUGUUGUUUGAUGUUAGAUUUUUCUUCCCAUGUUCACAUGAUUCACUCCCCAUCGAGUUACAUGCCGAAUUGCUUUUGCAAGAAAAUAACCUCCUAUUUGAUGGAUAUUAAAAUUAAAUUUUUAAUAAAUCUUGAUAAAAAUUUUUGAAAUAUAUGGCUGACAAGUUGUGAGACCCAUAAAAAUAUGUAGUUAAUAUUAAUUAUUGGACUUAGACCUUGUCUGAUUCCCAUUUUUCUAAAAAUUAGAAUGAAAAAUAUAUUCGUUACGAAAUCCACAUAAGAGAUAGAAAGUCAAAUAUGGUGACAUGAUAUAAUGAACAACAAUCAUAUUUUUCAUUUUUGUGACCAAAUAAUGAGAAUUAAACGGGGGCUUAAAUUAAAAUUUAAUUUAAAUUAAUACCAAAGAGGGGUUAAAUAACUUAAAAAAUAUUUAUCCUUAAGCACAUGGAUAGGGAUGGCAACAUGGUGAGUUCGGGGUGGGGUGCCCACCCCACUCCUGUCUCGCCCAAACCUCGCCCCGCCCCACCAGGACAGGGUGGGCAUGGGGCAAUUUUUUCCCUCAUUUGUUGUCCCACUUAAUUUAUUUUUUUUAACUUUUUGUAUUUUUAACAUUUUCAAAAUUUCGAGUUAUGUCAUUAUUAGAAAAUAAAAUACAAAUUCAAAAUAUGUUUUUAACAGGUGAAUUGUAUAGAAAUAAAUUAUUUUUAAUCUUUUAAGGGUGGAUUAGGGGGGCAUCCUCCCCCUCAUCCCACGACAGGGCGCCCCGCCCUACCAAUCAGUUCGAGGCAGGUUUUUUCCCCAUUCGGGGCGAAACUUUUUUGCCAUCACUACACACGAAUUCUUGGAGUCACGACUUAUACUGAAACAAUUCUGCAUUUUCCAUACUGAGAAGAUUGGAGUUUAAGUGCAUCACGUCUAAAACGCGUGUUUGGUUGAAACUGUAGAAAUAGGAGGGAGAGUUAUAACAGAAAAAAAUCCGGGGUCACGCAAUUAAUCAUUACUCUGAUAUUCAACUACCCUCCCUCCACAGCCCUCUCUUCGGCAGUGAAAUUCGCGGUCAAGUAAAAACAUUGUCAGUGUCAGAAUCUAGAGAGAGAGAAUAUUUCCAUCCAGCGGAUCGGUGAUGGCUUCUUCCUCAGAUCGCGAAACCUUCGUUUACCUUGCCAAGCUCGCCGAGCAAGCCGAACGCUACGAUGGUAAAUCACUCACCCUCGCACAAUUUUUUGGAGAAAUUGAACUUGUGUUAGCCAAUAUCUUGUUCGAGAUACGGACCGAUGAUUAAUUACUAAUUAGAAGGGGCUAAGUUGCAAUCAGCCUUUUAAUUUCGCUUUGUAAGUUAGUAUUUGACUUGAGCUUUAAGGAAUUCAUUAAUUUUUUACUGUAUGUGAUAUAUUCUAAUUUUAAUUAUUCUUUUUGUUAGAAUUGAGAUUUUUCGUAGCUUCUAUUGAACGAAUUAUUUGAAAUCUUUCAAUAUUUUUUUCUUCAAUUUGCUUGUGUCUUUGGUGAUUCAAAUAGUUUAUUAGACAAUUGGAUUUCAUUUUUCUCGUAUCUUGUGAAUAUUGCAUUUUCAUUUGUUGUGUAAUCAAUACAGAAUGAAAAAUAAGCACAAAUCUGAUUUUCUUACAGAGAUGGUGGAAGCGAUGAAGAAGGUGGCAAAGAUGGAUGUGGAGUUGACAGUGGAGGAGAGGAACUUGCUGUCGGUGGGGUACAAGAAUGUGAUUGGGGCUCGGAGAGCUUCAUGGAGAAUCUUAUCUUCGAUAGAACAGAAGGAGGAAUCCAGAGGCAAUGAGCAGAAUGCUAAGCGGAUCAAGGAGUACCAGCAGAAGGUGGAGUCAGAGCUCACCAACAUUUGCAGUGACAUCAUGACUGUCAUCAAUGAGCAUCUCAUUCCUUCAUGUACAGCUGGCGAGUCGACCGUGUUUUACUACAAGAUGUGAGAAUGGUCUUACCCCUCAGUUAUGUUUGAGUGUGACUUUUUGUUUUAUUAGGAGGUUGAAUGGUUUCUGUUGUUUGCAGGAAAGGGGAUUAUUAUAGGUAUCUUGCAGAGUUUAAGACUGGUAAUGAGAGGAAAGAAGUUGCUGAUCAGUCACUGAAGGCAUAUGAGGUAUAUUCUUAAUGUUUUGGGAAUCCAUAAAGCAUAUUGCUUGAGUUCUAUUAUCAGGUAACGUAUUCCACCCGACUUGAUAUAUUGACUGAAAUCCUUUCUUCAAGAAUGCAUAGAAGACUGGAUGGGCAGGACAUAAAUUUGUCUUGGUGGAGAGACAUCAUGUUUGUGGCUCUCGAUGUGUGCCUGACUGUGGUACUUAGGUUUUAUUCAUCUAACAGGAAUUCUAAUUUGUCCUCCAUUCCCUUUAAAGAUAUCGCAAGAGACAUUAUUAAGUUAGGGAAACAAGAAUAGGUCUUAGAAGCAUAUAGGAAUCUUUGCCCAAGAAAGUUGAAAUUCACUAUGUGCCGCUAUCAGUGUUGCAGUGUUGAUCACUCUAUAAAAAUACGUUCACCCAGCUCGUAGUGAUACUAAAGGACAAUAGCAUUAAUUUUAUUUAGUGUAGAGGAAGUAUCUACUGCUUAAGGAUUUGUGCAAAGGCAAGGAUGUGGUGCUUCUUCUCAUCUUUCAGAAAGCUAUUAAAUUUCAUUGCACAAGAUGAUAAAUGUAUUCCAAAUGUUUGACUCAAAAUUACAGAGGUGUACUUGCUUGUAUUUUCCUUAUCAUUCUCAUUCCUUGACUUCUCGAGUUGAUUUGCCUCCGAGCUCAUGAUUUACCACUUUACAUGUCUUGAAAAUUGGGAACCCUGGAUCUUAAUUUGGUAGAGUAGCUUCAUUGCUUCUAUGAUAGUGUUACUUUUGCAUUGUUUGAAAAGAAUUCAGUGAAGCCAUAUAUCAACUUUUUUGGGAGCGUUUUAGGAGCUCUGGCUUUGUGGAUAUCUUAAUGAACUUUCUUCAUUGUUUAGUGAUAUCAAUUUACUCUGAGUCUCUGUCAGUGUGCGUGGGCGUUUUUGUGCAUGCACAUACUUACUUGUACUUCUGGAAUCUGCUUGCAGACAGCGACCACCACAGCCGAGACUGAGUUGCCUCCGACACAUCCCAUUCGUUUGGGUUUGGCAUUGAAUUUUUCUGUCUUUUACUAUGAAAUUAUGAAUUCACCCGAGAGGUUUGUCUUUUACAGUCAUUGUGUUGAUUCCAAUUUUUUUUUCACAUUAUAGUACUCAACAAUCUUUUUUAUUGCAGAGCUUGUCAUCUUGCUAAGCAAGCUUUUGAUGAAGCAAUCUCCGAGCUGGACAAUUUAAAUGAGGAGUCAUACAAAGAUAGCACCUUGAUUAUGCAGCUUCUUAGGGACAAUCUCACAUUGUGGACCUCUGAGAUUCCGGAGGAUGCAGGUACAAUGGCAGUUAUCACAAUAUUACAUGACUCAAAUCUUACUGCAUUUUAAUUGAUUGCUUUUGACCACAGAUUUUAGUUGGUUAUGGGGUGUAUAUUCCCCUGCCUAGGAUUUGAGCGAUCACUGCAAUUUGUAAGAGGAGUGAAUAAAAGUGCACUAUAUAUAUAUUCAGAUUAAUAAGUCUAAUUAAAUGAUAUUUACUUUGAAGGAACUUUCUGAUCUCUUCAUAUUGGCAUCACAAAUUUUGAGAGGUGUUGCCUACUUCAUAAUAUUUCUGCAAACGUCUACCAUGUGAUUUAUUAUAUUAAUAUAAAAUGGUUUGUUUCAUAUAAUGUAUGACAGACAUAUAUUUAAGGGUAAGGAAGUGCAGAACUAAGGAAAUAUGCUUCUACAAGGCUGAAACCUCAGUUUUUAUACAUGAUGAUAUCAUGUCUUUGAGAGGGAAAUGAUAAACAUUAUGGAAACCAACAAGUUAAAUUUUGAAUGUGAUAAUAAAUAAUCCAUGAAAUGUUACAUUUUUCUAACUUUGUUCUGAUUUCCUUUUGUGUGCCUGACAGAAGAAGCACAAAAACUGGAUGCUGCCAAGAAAGCUGGAGAGGGUUCGGAGGUAGGCUGCUUUCGUUUCCUAUAAUUUAUAUGAACUUAUUACACGACUUGAAAUAAAAUAAAAUAAUUUGUGGGUUCAAUCUUUUCGUUGCAGUGAAUCAUCCGAAUGUCAGUUUGGGGGAGGGAGGAUGAUGAUGAUGCAACACACCCCCAGAAUACUUGUUUUUCAUCGCGUGUCUUUGUUAUGGUUUAAUAGUCUGCCUACCCAUCUUCCUUUAUUGAAUGGAGUAGUGUGUGAUUAAACAGGUGGUGUUAUUUUUUCAAUUACUACCUUAGCCUAGAUGGAAGAUUUGUGUGUACUCUCUCUCAGAUUGUUGUCUCUAGAUGCAACUUCUUGUGGAUUUUCCCAACUUAUUCUCAUCAAAGUUUAUGAAUAUGGAAUAUUUAGCUAACGCGGCAAGUGGCCUCCGAGAAUACAAGUUUACAAGAAUGAAACUGGGAAUAAAUGACCUAAAAAUAUAAACGUGAUUUGAUUCGAUUUCCAUUCUGGUUGUGAUUGAGAUGUAAGCCUCCAACGUUUGUUUAAAGAAAAAGUUUAAAAUAAAGGGCUUUCUUGAAUGGGAACCUGCAUCAUUGGUCCCUAUCUCGUCUAACUUGGUAAAAUUGUACAAAGUAGUUCUCAACAAUUCAAAAUUCGUCAACUUGGCAGGACCAGUGGGCAGAAUUGUGCUUCAGUUUGGUUUAUAUAAAAAUUGAUUUUUUAA
RNAcentral lists this small RNA (5650 nucleotides) under Olea europaea subsp. europaea. The record is from RNAcentral. Lineage: Eukaryota; Viridiplantae; Streptophyta; Magnoliopsida; Lamiales; Oleaceae.